This 28-nucleotide non-coding RNA is filed under the name Mus musculus (house mouse). The record is from RNAcentral. Lineage: Eukaryota; Metazoa; Chordata; Mammalia; Rodentia; Muridae.
UAUAGAGUACAUAUUUAUAGACACCACU